RNAcentral lists this ribosomal RNA (486 nucleotides) under uncultured bacterium. RNAcentral describes it as "partial 16S ribosomal RNA". It matches the Rfam family "Bacterial small subunit ribosomal RNA", at positions 30 to 507 of the family's 1533-position model. The record is from RNAcentral.
AUUGAACGCUGGCGGCAUGCCUUACACAUGCAAGUCGAACGGCAGCACGGGUGCUUGCACCUGGUGGCGAGUGGCGAACGGGUGAGUAAUAUAUCGGAACAUGUCCUGUAGUGGGGGAUAGCCCGGCGAAAGCCGGAUUAAUACCGCAUACGAUCUACGGAUGAAAGCGGGGGACCUUCGGGCCUCGCGCUCUAGUGUUGGCCGAUGGCUGAUUAGCUAGUUGGUGGGGUAAAGGCCUACCAAGGCGACGAUCAGUAGCUGGUCUGAGAGGACGACCAGCCACACUGGGACUGAGACACGGCCCAGACUCCUACGGGAGGCAGCAGUGGGGAAUUUUGGACAAUGGGCGAAAGCCUGAUCCAGCAAUGCCGCGUGUGUGAAGAAGGCCUUCGGGUUGUAAAGCACUUUUGUCCGGGAAGAAAUCCUUGGACCUAAUACGGUCGGGGGAUGACGGUACCGGAAGAAUAAGCACCGGCUAACUACGUG